GAAGGUCCGGGCGUUAUCCGGAUUUAUUGGGUUUAAAGGGAGCGCAGGCCGCCUUUUAAGCGUGUUGUGAAAUGUCCCGGCUCAACCGGGUCACUGCAGCGCGAACUGGAAGGCUUGAGUACGCUGUAGGUAGGCGGAAUUCGUGGUGUAGCGGUGAAAUGCUUAGAUAUCACGAAGAACUCCGAUUGCGAAGGCAGCUGACUGUAUCGUAACUGACGCUGAAGCUCGAAAGUGUGGGUAUCGAA
Molecule: ribosomal RNA, 245 nt
Filed under: uncultured bacterium
Lineage: Bacteria
Description: partial 16S ribosomal RNA
Rfam family: Bacterial small subunit ribosomal RNA
Source: RNAcentral